UGAUGCACAAGCUAUGGAGGG
RNAcentral lists this unclassified non-coding RNA (21 nucleotides) under Mus musculus (house mouse). RNAcentral's name for it is "oocyte_clustered_small_RNA12669". The record is from RNAcentral. Lineage: Eukaryota; Metazoa; Chordata; Mammalia; Rodentia; Muridae.